Molecule: long non-coding RNA, 1145 nt
Organism: Myxocyprinus asiaticus (Chinese sucker)
Lineage: Eukaryota; Metazoa; Chordata; Actinopteri; Cypriniformes; Catostomidae
Exons: 3
Source: RefSeq, a predicted model, not a curated record
GAGUGUGUGUGUAUGUGUGUGUGACUGCGUGCUCUGUGUGCCAGCGUCUGAGCUCUCUCCUCACAGCCUGCAUGCGGAGCCGCGGCUCGGAUUGCGCUCUGCCAGGCGCCUCUCGCAGCUCUCAUUUGAGCGAGCAGCUGCGACACGCACACACACUUUCUCUCUCCCAUUCUCCUUUCUCUUGCACGCUCCUGCGGACUCUCGUGGAGGGAGAUUUAAUGCACAUGCAACUAGCGCGAAGGACGUCCUGACUUCCUAAAACUCUCCAGGAGAAAGCCUUCUCUUGCCCUGCGUGCCACAGAUGUUUUUCUAAGUUGCUCCCGCAGACAGGAAUCUACUCGCAAGACGAAAGCCACGCUCUCCCCCAGGAGAGGAGUACAAAGGCCAGUCUGCACGUGGCAGAUGCAAAAUCAAGUCCAUCUGCUACGGGCUUCCCUUCACCACAUGGAGAUUGAAAAGACUUUGGACACCCAAGGUAAAUGAGGACAAAAAAAUUCCUGCAGCGGCUCUUAAACGUGUACAGAGGAAAGUGUUGGGCUGCGGGAGGGGGGAUGGGGACUUGUGCGGUGGCAACACUGGUGUAGCAAUCUCUCUCCAAGCGAUGGCAUCAUUUCCAAGGCAACCCCUCUAACUAUUAAUUUUCAAUGAAAGCAGACACAGAAUGCCCUACCCUGAGCCUACAUAAGGUGUCAAGAGCCUGUCUACGAACUCUACACUCUUUUGCAGGGGGGAACCGAGCCUUAAAGGAACCAUGUUGACACUGGGCUGGUUCAAAGUAACACAAUCACAACACUGAAUACACCAACUAAGUCCUGCUUUCUACAAAUGCACCAUUCAUUCCCAGUCGAAAAACAUGCGGAUUAAUCUAAACGCAUGCCGAUUAAUCGAUCAAUCGAUCAAUCAAUCUACUAUUAGUGUUAUUAAUUGUUAAAGAAAAUAAAAUUACAAAAAUUGAGAAUUUUGAGUCAAUAUUGUGAAAAAUUUAUAUAAAAUAAUCUUUUUCAUUUUUACUUUUUUCCAAGAGACGGAUAUGAAACAUUUCUUUAUAAGAUGGAUAUGAAUCAUUUCUUUAUAAGGGCAAACAUAUUACAACUGUGUAAAAGCAGUAUAAAAUAACUCAUUUGCUGUCAUUAAAUAUGUAUAUA